This 254-nucleotide ribosomal RNA is filed under the name uncultured bacterium. RNAcentral's name for it is "partial 16S ribosomal RNA". It matches the Rfam family "Bacterial small subunit ribosomal RNA", at positions 524 to 776 of the family's 1533-position model. The record is from RNAcentral.
UACGGGGGGGGGCAAGCGUUGUUCGGAAUUACUGGGCGUAAAGGGCUCGUAGGCGGCCAACUAAGUCAGACGUGAAAUCCCUCGGCUUAACCGGGGAACUGCAUCUGAUACUGGAUGGCUUGAGUUCGGGAGAGGGAUGCGGAAUUCCAGGUGUAACGGUGAAAUGCGUAGAUAUCUGGAGGAACACCGGUGGCGAAGGCGGCAUCCUGGACCGACACUGACGCUGAGGAGCGAAAGCCAGGGGAGCAAACGGG